Artibeus jamaicensis (Jamaican fruit-eating bat) is the source of this 2594-nucleotide long non-coding RNA. RefSeq lists it as uncharacterized. The transcript is spliced from 4 exons. The record is from RefSeq and is a predicted model, not a curated record. NCBI's taxonomy places the organism in Eukaryota, Metazoa, Chordata, Mammalia, Chiroptera, Phyllostomidae.
CUUUCUCGUUUGGGACUCACACAUUCUAUGAAGCCUUCUCCAUGCUCCCAGUGCAAUUCUAGGCACUGGAGGUGGGACAAUGAGGAGGAGAAACCCACUCUCUGCUCCCCUGGGCACUGUGUUCCAGUGAAGAGACAGACAAAAACAAAGAUGGAGAGGAAUGGGGAGAGAGAGAGAGAGAAACUUUGAUGUAAGAGAGAAAAUCGAUUGGUUGCUUCACAUACACACCCAGCCAGACCAGAGACUGAACCUACAACCCAGCUGAGAAAAUUCACAGGACGUGCCCUUCUCAGAGAAAACUACAGGCUGUAAUAAGGGGAAGAAUGAUGGGUUUAAGUAUUACUUCGACAUAAAUACAAGAAUCUUCAACACUGUGCUCAUGAUUGAAACACACUAGUCACGUUGCCCUGACUUGGGAAGAUGAGCAAACCGUACAGAAGUUUCUAGGAAGCCUAGCAUGGGAUCCUUCACUGUACUAGUCAGGGUUCUCAGUUGCAAAUGAUUGAAACAGACUCUAGUCAUGUAAGCAGAAAAGGAAUUUGCCGGCAAAAUAUUUGUUUCUUAUGGGAUUUCUAGGGAGACGGGGGAAUCAGGUUUGCAAUGUGAGGGAAACAAAGAGGAUCCGUGUGGUCAGAAGAAGAGCUCAGGGCACGUCCACCACUCAGUGAGUCCCGAUUAAUGAAGAUGCUGACACAGACACCUAAUGAGCCCUGAUCCUGGCACCACCACCACGGCUGCUCUCCUCUCUGCCGUGGAAAGCCUGUGCUGCAGUCCCAUCACCUGGUCCUGCUUCUCUGAGUCCAUAUCUGGAGACCUCUGAUUAGCCAUGUCAAUCAGGGCUCCUGCUGUAGUUACCAAACGAGGCUAGAAAAGGGAGUCUGGCCCAUUCAGCUUCUGCAGUGACAGCAAGGCUCUGCGUUCUAACCAUACCUUAAACCCGAGGGGAUUCUGAAACCUACAAAUACGGUUCGGAUGCAAGGUCGUUGAAGACAUGCAAACAUUUACUUCUCUCGGGGAAUGAUUAAGAAGAGUAAUGGAAGCUUGGAUGUGUUUUAUCUUACUUUAAUCUUCAUCACCUUUUAAAUCUUCAUCCCUUCUUUUCUAAAAGAGUUUGAAAAAAUCCAACAGCAUUUGGCUAUGUCCCCUCAAAAGUGUAUAUUUGAAAAUAAGUGCCUAUUUAUUUAUUUAUUUUUAAAUUAAAUUUAUUAGGAUAUCAUUGGUUAAUGACAUUGUAUAAAUUUCAGGUGUACAACUUUCGAAUCAUUGUGUUCUUGGGAAGUCAGUAUAUAUACUGCACACUCUUGUGUGCUCACCUCCUGGACUCUAGUCCCCAUCUGUCACCUUGUAUUUGGGUCCCUUGACCCUCUUCAUUCUCCCUCCACCCCCAUCCCCUCUAGUGACUGCCAUUCUGUUGUAUCUAUGAAUUUGUUUCUUUGUUGGUUUUAUCUGUUUAUUGUUACUUUUAGUUUUCUAUCUCACAUAUAAUUGCAUUCCUAUGUUUUAACAAUGAGUUAUCAGAAAGAAAAGUGAAAAGAAAAACAAUAAUCCCAUGUUCAAUUGCACCAAAAGGAUAAAAUGCCUAGGAAUAAAUAUACAAAGUGAAGGACUUAUAUUACAAGACCGUUGAAAGAAGUUGAAAAAGGUACAAAGAGAUGAAAAGAUAUUCUGUGUUCAUGGGUUAGAAAUGUUAAAAUUGUUAAAAUGGACGUAUUACCUACAUAUCAUUUUCCUUGUUUAAGGAGCCAAGACCUGGGAAUAUUAACUGAUUCAGCCACUAUGGAGACAGUAUGGGGGCUCCUCAGAAAAUUAAAAAUAGAACUAUGAUCCAGCAAUUCACUCUGGGCAUGUACCUGAAGGAAGAGGAGCACUGUGAUAAAGAGGUGUCUACACUCCCACGUUCAGGGAAGUGUAUUGACAAUCGCUGAGAUGUGGAAACACCCCUGUGUCCAAGUGUCCAUCAGUGGAUGGAUGGAUGGAUAAGGAAAAUAUUAUACACUUACACACACAGAGGAAUAUUAUCUGACCAUAAAAAUAAGGUGAUCCUGACAUUUGUGAACAACAUGACAAAGAUGAAUUUUAAGAGCUGUAAGCUAAGUGAAAUGAGUCAGACAGAGAAAGGUAAAUACCAUAUGACCUCAUUUACAUGUGAAAUCUGAAAAAAAAAUGACCUCAUAGAAACAGAGAACUGAUGGGUGUUUGCUAGAGGUGGGGGCUUGGGAUGGACAAAAGAAUCCAGGAUCUAAUGUACGAGAGCAUGGUGACUAUAGUCAACAAUACUGCAUUAUAUAUUUGAAAACUGCUAGGAGAGUAGAGCUUUAAAGUUCUCAUCCCAAGAAAAAAAAAGUCAUAUUAUGGGAUAGAUGUUAACUAAACUUACUAUGAUGAUCAGUUAUUACAUUAUGACAUUGUAAUAUAUAAUGAAAUAAUUAUACAACUCACCAUAAUGCAGAAUCAGCGGGAGCCCUGAGCUUGUUUUCCUGUGACUAGAUGGCCUCAUUUGGGGGUGAUGGGAGACAGUGGUACCCAAAGUGUGUUGCUUAUGUCAAGUCUACUCUGUAACCUCAUUUUGGUGGCUGUCCCUACAGAAAACUCUG